Molecule: long non-coding RNA, 569 nt
Organism: Gordionus sp. m RMFG-2023
Lineage: Eukaryota; Metazoa; Nematomorpha; Gordioida; Chordodea; Parachordodidae
Exons: 5
Source: RefSeq, a predicted model, not a curated record
UUGACCAUCUUAAAUGGCCCCUUGUGGAGGAAUAAAAUUGUUUUGACUAAGGAAUUGCUAACCGUAAAACCAGUGAAUGGCGAACUUGUCUUGGAACAUGUAUUUGAGCUCAUCGCGGGCAUUUUGAAUAUAACUUUCAAGAACAGCAUUUGACUCAAAUUAAUAUGAGGUAGAAUUUCUUUAUAACUUUUAUUAUGUAUAACUUUGAACCCUGUUUAUCGAAUCUGAUGAUAAAAUUUAUAGAAGACAUUGAUUUAUUGUACAGAAAGUGUACUAGUUCAAUUGAGACACAUUGUAUAGAGGAAUUAUGGUGAGACAAAUACUUAAUCAACAAUCAUCAAAAUAAUCACCAAAACGUUAAACGCGACUUCCACUCCACCCGUAGACGCUAAGAUACAUACCGAUACCCAACAAAUUAGCCUAAGCUCAGGGGGCCAUAUGUGGCUAGAUAGGAAACAGACAAUUGUGAGAAUAAUUCCGACGACUAUAUUCAAAAUUUAUUAAAACAUCAAUCAUGACAGUAGAUAUGGAAUUAGAUUGUGAAUCAGGGAUUAUUUAGAUAGUGUUAU